Molecule: ribosomal RNA, 857 nt
Filed under: Trapeliopsis sp.
Lineage: Eukaryota; Fungi; Ascomycota; Lecanoromycetes; Trapeliales; Trapeliaceae
Description: partial large subunit ribosomal RNA
Rfam family: Eukaryotic large subunit ribosomal RNA
Source: RNAcentral
UGUGAGGCCCCUUGGACGAGUCGAGUUGUUUGGGAAUGCCUCUCUAAAUGGGUGGUAAAUUUCAUCUAAAGCUAAAUACCGGCCAGAGACCGAUAGCGCACAAGUAGAGUGAUCGAAAGAUGAAAAGCACUUUGGAAAGAGAGUUAAACAGUACGUGAAAUUGUUGAAAGGGAAGCGCUUGCAACCAGACUUGCCCGCGGGUGAUCCGCCGUCCUUCGGGGCGGUGCACUCUCCCGCGAUCAGGCCAGCAUCGGUUCGGGCGGCCAGAUAAAGGCGUCGGGAACGUGGCUCCCCCCGGGGAGUGUUAUAGCCCGUCGCGCCAUGUGGUCAGCCGGGACCGAGGACCGCGCUUCGGCUAGGAUGCUGGCGUAAUGGUUGUCAGCGACCCGUCUUGAAACACGGACCAAGGAGUCUACGAAUUUUGCGAGUGUUUGGGCGUCAAACCCAUGCGCGCAAUGAAAGUGAACGGAGGUGGGAACCUUUACCGGGGCACCAUCGACCGAUCCUGAUGUCUUCGGAUGGAUUUGAGUACGAGCAAGAUUCGUGGGACCCGAAAGAUGGUGAACUAUGCGUGUGUAGGGUGAAGCCAGGGGAAACCCUGGUGGAGGCUCGCAGCGGUUCUGACGUGCAAAUCGAUCGUCAAACAUGCGUAUAGGGGCGAAAGACUAAUCGAACCAUCUAGUAGCUGGUUCCUGCCGAAGUUUCCCUCAGAUAGCAGUAACGUUUUCAGUUUAUGAGGUACGCUCCACAUCACCUUUUCAGCGAGACAUAACUAACCCCCCUAGGUAAAGCGAAUGAUUAGAGGCCUUGGGGAGAAACUUCCUUAACUAUUCUCAACUUUAAUAUGUAGAAGUCCU